AGCUUUGUGUAGUGGCAGUAUCAUAGCCAAUGAGGUUUAUCCUAGGUGCAAUUAUUGCUAAUUGAAAAUUUUUCCUGAUGUCCUGCCAUGAUGACUUGAAAUAUAGUUGGUGUUGGCAAUUUUUGGCAGUCUCUAUGGGGA
Small nuclear RNA from Callithrix jacchus (white-tufted-ear marmoset), 141 nucleotides. Its record names the gene U4. It matches the Rfam family "U4 spliceosomal RNA". Rfam says of the family: U4 small nuclear RNA (U4 snRNA) is a component of the major U2-dependent spliceosome. The structure of U4 snRNA from yeast and human has been reported. U4 snRNA presents a k-turn RNA motif in the 5p-SL related to recognition of Snu13 protein. NCBI's taxonomy places the organism in Eukaryota, Metazoa, Chordata, Mammalia, Primates, Cebidae. The record is from Ensembl.